GAUGAAGAACGUAGCGAAAUGCGAUACUUGGUGUGAAUUGCAGAAUCCCGUGAACCAUCGAGUCUUUGAACGCAAGUUGCGCCCGAAGCCAUUAGGCCGAGGGCACGCCUGCCGGGGCGUCACACGUCGUUGCCCCCCCAUCUACUCCUUCGGGAUUGCGGGGGGCGGAUGAUGGCCUCCCGUGCGCCACGCCGCGCGGUUGGCAUAAAUGCCAAGUCCUCGGCGACGCACGCCACGACAAUCGGUGGUUGCGAAACCUCGGUUGCCCGUCGUGUGCGGUCGUCGCGCAUCGAGGGCUCGAAAAAAUUGCCGGGUUCCGGCUCGGCUUUCAACGCGACCCCAGGUCAGGCGGGGUUACCCGCUGAAUUUAAGCAUAUCAAUAAGCGGAGGA
This 391-nucleotide unclassified non-coding RNA is filed under the name soil metagenome. RNAcentral's name for it is "partial contains 5.8S ribosomal RNA, internal transcribed spacer 2, and large subunit ribosomal RNA". The stretch from base 1 to 122 matches the Rfam family "5.8S ribosomal RNA", at positions 35 to 154 of the family's 154-position model. The record is from RNAcentral.